CGCCCGCAAGACUGUAAAUGGUAUUUCAUUAUUCUCCAAGUAAAAUAGUCUACAUCAGGUGGAUUCACAAUGCAACAACUUUCAGCCAUUAUCGCUCAUUAAUAGUGAUAGCGACAACAGUUGAAAACAUAUAUAUUGCGAUCCAAGCAAAUUAAAUAGAUUCAGACUUGAAACUUUUGGACUUGCGAGGAAACACCCUCAUAAUUCCUCAACCAUGACUCUGGGAUUUACAACAAAGCAACAAAAACCACCUUAGGCAAGCAUGCCAUGCUCUACACUCCAUCCACCACAACUGAAGGGGAAAGCUAUGGGUAUUGGAAGUCAGACCAACCACGUCCACACAUCACUAUAAAUCACAACAUAAUAAUGGAAAUGCAAACACAAAAAAAGCAAUGAAAUUCCAUUUUUAACUAAACACAACAAUAGAUAAUCAGGUCUCAUCCUUUCCCCUGAACAAGAUGUAGUGGGGUAUCAUCUGCAUCACUCUGCAUCCUCUGUCCCACCUAAUUUGGCAGUGCCAUUGAUUUUCUGAGUAUCUUCUCCAUCCUCUGGGAUGUCAGAAG
RNAcentral lists this unclassified non-coding RNA (563 nucleotides) under Hevea brasiliensis (rubber tree). Lineage: Eukaryota; Viridiplantae; Streptophyta; Magnoliopsida; Malpighiales; Euphorbiaceae. The record is from RNAcentral.